Molecule: transfer RNA, 72 nt
Filed under: Camelus bactrianus (Bactrian camel)
Lineage: Eukaryota; Metazoa; Chordata; Mammalia; Artiodactyla; Camelidae
Also listed under: 1 other name
Rfam family: tRNA
About the family: Transfer RNA (tRNA) molecules are approximately 80 nucleotides in length. Their secondary structure includes four short double-helical elements and three loops (D, anti-codon, and T loops).
Source: Rfam by way of RNAcentral
GGGGGUAUAGUUCAGUGGUAGAGCACAUGCUUAGCAUGCACGAGGUCCUGGGUUCAAUCCCCAGUACCUCCA